GGUUCUCCUGGCCUCGCAAUGGGAGAGACAGGCCAAGCACACCCACAAGCUGAAUAUUGGUUCAGACCAUCAAGGCCUCUUCCUCCACUUCCUUGCAUCUGCUCCCUCACUGGAGACCAGACAAUCUGUCCCACAAGAAGAGCAGCUGGAUCAGCUGAAGCUUGCCCAGCCCAGCAUUCUGAUGCUGCAGCGGUCAAUGAGACAUCCAGGUGGAGCCAAGAAACAGGACACGAGAGCUGCUGUUGGGGAUCAGCAUCAAAGCCACUUGCUCAUGGGCUUCCCACUUGGCCAGAACAAUGGAGGUGGUGAAUGGGGAUACAGGAGAUGCCCCCAGCUGCUUGAUUCCUGGCUCUCUACCUGCCAAGCAAGCGAGAGGGAACACUUACGAGAACAAGGAUGAGGAGCAGUUGUAGCUACAGGCCAUGGGGUGAGAAGGCUGCCUUAAAAACAAUUCAGCAAGAAAAAUAUAUUUAAAUACACAUUUCAAACAUACAUUCGCUCAAGAAUCAAGAUGUAUCUCCUCUCAAAAUAUACAUUAGAAAAAAUCCCCUCAACAAACACAUUUCAAGUAUUCCCCUCCCCCUGCCAUCUUCUUCAAAUCUGAAAUGGACAUUUGAGAAAUGUAAAAGCUGCUGGAUAACUAAAUUCCAUACAUCUU
This is a long non-coding RNA of Varanus komodoensis (Komodo dragon), 658 nucleotides long. RefSeq lists it as uncharacterized. Lineage: Eukaryota; Metazoa; Chordata; Lepidosauria; Squamata; Varanidae. The record is from RefSeq and is a predicted model, not a curated record. The transcript is spliced from 3 exons.